AGUAAUGCUUGGGAACUUGCCUUUGCGAGGGGGAUAACAGUUGGAAACGACUGCUAAUACCGCAUAAUGUCUUCGGACCAAACGGGGCUUCGGCUCCGGCGCAAAGAGAGGCCCAAGUGAGAUUAGCUAGUUGGUAAGGUAACGGCUUACCAAGGCGACGAUCUCUAGCUGUUCUGAGAGGAAGAUCAGCCACACUGGGACUGAGACACGGCCCAGACUCCUACGGGAGGCAGCAGUGGGGAAUAUUGCACAAUGGGGGAAACCCUGAUGCAGCCAUGCCGCGUGUGUGAAGAAGGCCUUCGGGUUGUAAAGCACUUUCAGUUGUGAGGAAAAGUUAGUAGUUAAUACCUGCUAGCCGUGACGUUAACAAAGAAGAAGCACCGGCUAACUCCGUGCCAGCAGCCGCGGUAAUACGGAGGGUGCGAGCGUUAAUCGGAAUUACUGGGCGUAAAGCGCACGCAGGCGGUUUGUUAAGCUAGAUGUGAAAGCCCCGGGCUCAACCUGGGAUGGUCAUUUAGAACUGGCAGACUAGAGUCUUGGAGAGGGGAGUGGAAUUCCAGGUGUAGCGGUGAAAUGCGUAGAUAUCUGGAGGAACAUCAGUGGCGAAGGCGACUCCCUGGCCAAAGACUGACGCUCAUGUGCGAAAGUGUGGGUAGCGAACAGGAUUAGAUACCCUGGUAGUCCACACCGUAAACGCUGUCUACUAGCUGUGUGUGUCUUAUAAGACGUGCGUAGCGAAGCUAACGCGCUAAGUAGACCGCCUGGGGGAGUACGGCCGCAAGGUUAAAAACUCAAAUGAAUAAGACGGGGGGCCCGCACAAGCCGG
RNAcentral lists this ribosomal RNA (826 nucleotides) under Alteromonas macleodii. Its description in RNAcentral is "bacterial SSU rRNA". It matches the Rfam family "Bacterial small subunit ribosomal RNA", at positions 109 to 933 of the family's 1533-position model. The record is from RNAcentral. Lineage: Bacteria; Pseudomonadati; Pseudomonadota; Gammaproteobacteria; Alteromonadales; Alteromonadaceae.